UACGGAGGGGGCUAGCGUUGUUCGGAAUUACUGGGCGUAAAGCGCACGUAGGCGGCUUUGCAAGUCAGAGGUGAAAGCCCGGGGCUCAACCCCGGAAUUGCCUUUGAGACUGCAUCGCUAGAAUUGUGGAGAGGUAAGUGGAAUUCCUGGUGUAGCGGUGAAAUGCGCAGAUAUCAGGAGGAACACCGGUGGCGAAGGCGGGUCUCCGGGCCGAUACUGACGCUGAGGAGCGAAAGCGUGGGGAGCGAACAGG
RNAcentral lists this ribosomal RNA (253 nucleotides) under uncultured bacterium. RNAcentral describes it as "partial 16S ribosomal RNA". It matches the Rfam family "Bacterial small subunit ribosomal RNA", at positions 524 to 776 of the family's 1533-position model. The record is from RNAcentral.